AGCAGCUCUCGCCGAUCCGAAGUUGUUUUGCUCCGACAAGCACCUAGAGGUUAAUUUCUUGAAGUGCCCCAUGAAAAGCGAUUAGCCUGGCUCCCGAGAAGUAUUUUCUAAUUACGUGCAAGCCCUCGCUCUGCUGCUACCCCAUAAUUAAACCUCUUCAAGGUGCUGCACUUCAAAUAUUUCGCUCCCGGGGCCGCUGCCAGGAGCCGAGAGCUCCGGCCCCCCGCACCCCCCACACCCCAAAACCCCAUCGCAGAGACACGCAACAAAUCACUGCGUCUCUCUCCCCCGGCAGUCACCACGCGCGGGGCAGCACCUCAGGGUUCCAGCACCGCUUUUUCUCGCCGGGCUGCGGGAGCUCCGCCAGCGGCUGCCCGGCGCGCAGGGCUUUAUCCUGGGGAGAAAAUCACUGCGGGGCACUGGGAGAGGCGCUUUAAGAACAGGGGUUGGGGCCGCCCGUUCCCGGUCCCCGUUCUCCUCGCAGUUCAACCCCGUAUAUUCUAACGGGGCUCACGUUGCUCCCGUGCCAGGCGCGAUGCGACACAUCCAGAGCGACUGGUGCUUCCGAGCAGGGCCGGGCCGGGUUGUCGGUGGCAUCUCCCCAGCAGCGUUACAGAGAUUUUCCCAUGGCCGCGGGUAAGGGCUCGGCUGCCGCUGACUCGCGGGACGCCGCCGGCUUUAUCCCAGCCGUUCCCCGGGGAGCGAACGAAUGAGGC
Gallus gallus (chicken) is the source of this 716-nucleotide long non-coding RNA. NCBI's taxonomy places the organism in Eukaryota, Metazoa, Chordata, Aves, Galliformes, Phasianidae. The record is from Ensembl.